CUGUGGGCCUUCUUCGGAAGCCCGCAAGAUAGCACCCUUUGCCUUUUUGAGUACCUUUGUUUCCUCGGCAGGCUCGCCUGCCAACGGGGACCUAUACAACCCUUUGCAGUAGUAUAACAAACGUCUGAUACACUUUAAUUAUCA
Molecule: unclassified non-coding RNA, 144 nt
Filed under: uncultured Ascomycota
Lineage: Eukaryota; Fungi; Ascomycota
Description: sequence contains ITS1
Source: RNAcentral